Molecule: non-coding RNA, 488 nt
Organism: Phascolarctos cinereus (koala)
Lineage: Eukaryota; Metazoa; Chordata; Mammalia; Diprotodontia; Phascolarctidae
Source: RefSeq, a predicted model, not a curated record
AGACGGGGGGCGGAGGUUUUCCUGUGAGAUCAGCCUACGAGCUGGGGGCGGAGAUUCUUCUUGCUCUGUUGCGGGGUGCUGCGGCAGGAGUUUCGGGGUGCCACAGAGGAAGAAAACGGAGAGGGACGUGCGCGGGCGGGUGUGGCAGCAACAGGAGACCGAUUCAGCAGCUGAUGCGGGCUGGCCACAUUGCUAUCAGUUGCAUUGCGCCAUAGGAGUGAUAUCCACCUGGAUAAUCGUCGUCUUUAUUUGAUUUCCUUGGAGAGUAGGCCAGAUUUUUCCACCACUGCUGGGUCAAAGUUGGAGUCACUAGAAGAGGAGGGAGGUGAAUUUAGAAGAGGUGCAGAGUUUGAAGUAUCAAGACCAUAUCUGUGUCAUAAAAGGAAUUUGUUGCACGCUCAGUUUGUUGAUUUGCUCUUUUAUUGACGAAAGCCUUUAGAGAUAUAAAUUUUCUCCUAAGUACUGCUUUGGCUGUAUCCCACAAAUUU